Capra hircus (goat) is the source of this 770-nucleotide long non-coding RNA. RefSeq lists it as uncharacterized. The transcript is spliced from 2 exons. The record is from RefSeq and is a predicted model, not a curated record. Lineage: Eukaryota; Metazoa; Chordata; Mammalia; Artiodactyla; Bovidae.
UGCCAAGCUGAUGAGCGGAUUUAAAGAAGAAACAGAAAGAGCCUAAUAUCCCAUACUCAUUGCUACUGAACACUGCCCCUUCCCUUUCCCUUCUUAGGAGGAGCUGUGGCUUCACCCCCAGCCCCUGGGGGCUUUCCUUGAUCUGGGUCUCUGGCAUGACUGGGGUUGCUGAGGCUGUGGGGCAACAGAAAUGGGAUGAGUAACAGUGUCAGGGUCCUGGAGGUGGUCCUCCUAGAAAACAGCCACAGGCCCAGUUACCUGGGCCAUGUCUCUGUGCUUCGUAUACAGCAUCUCAUUGUAUUCCUUCAACAACACUGUGGAGUGGGUACUGUUAUCAUACCCAUUUUACAGAUGAACAAACGUAGGCUCAGAGAGACAGAGUGACAUGCAAGAGAUCCCUUGGUUGCCAAGUCUGACCUGCUGGAGGGUGGCAGCCACUGGGAUCUAGUUUCUAUUCAGCUAUAUCCAGAUCUGGAGAAAUGCUACUGAUUUUGUACCCUCAGAUACACUUCAGGAAACCACACAACAAAUUGUAAACUGAAGAGGACAGAUGAGAAAAACCACUGUGAUGCCCGCCUGCUGAUUGGUUCCCAGGGACAUGGCAGAAUCUCUAUACCAUCACCCUCUGGCACGGUUGGUGCAGCCAUCAUCCCCCAGGAGUGACAACUGAGCCCAGUCAAGGACACUCUCAGAUACGCCUCCUCACAGUCAGGACACCCUAUGCUCCUUGCCCUCCACCCCCAGCAAUAAAAUGGCAUUUCUGCACCUUC